RNAcentral lists this ribosomal RNA (740 nucleotides) under uncultured bacterium. Its description in RNAcentral is "bacterial SSU rRNA". It matches the Rfam family "Bacterial small subunit ribosomal RNA", at positions 505 to 1241 of the family's 1533-position model. The record is from RNAcentral.
GUGCCAGCAGGCCGCGGUAAUACGGAGGGUGCAAGCGUUACUCGGAAUCACUGGGCGUAAAGAGCGUGUAGGCGGGUAUAUAAGUCAGAAGUGAAAUCCAAUAGCUUAACUAUUGAACUGCUUUUGAAACUGUAUACCUAGAAUGUGGGAGAGGUAGAUGGAAUUUCUGGUGUAGGGGUAAAAUCCGUAGAGAUCAGAAGGAAUACCGAUUGCGAAGGCGAUCUACUGGAACAUUAUUGACGCUGAGACGCGAAAGCGUGGGGAGCAAACAGGAUUAGAUACCCUGGUAGUCCACGCCCUAAACGAUGUACACUAGUUGUUGUGAGGCUCGACCUUGCAGUAAUGCAGUUAACACAUUAAGUGUACCGCCUGGGGAGUACGGUCGCAAGAUUAAAACUCAAAGGAAUAGACGGGGACCCGCACAAGCGGUGGAGCAUGUGGUUUAAUUCGACGAUACACGAAGAACCUUACCUGGACUUGACAUAGUAAGAACUUUCUAGAGAUAGAUUGGUGUCUGCUUGCAGAAACUUAUAUACAGGUGCUGCACGGCUGUCGUCAGCUCGUGUCGUGAGAUGUUGGGUUAAGUCCCGCAACGAGCGCAACCCUCGUCAUUAGUUGCUAACAGUUCGGCUGANAACUCUNAUGAGACUGCCUACGCAAGUAGGGAGGAAGGUGAGGACGACGUCAAGUCAUCAUGGGCCUUACGUCCAGGCUACACACGUGCUACAAUGGGGUAUACA